CGGUAACAGGUCUUCGGACGCUGACGAGUGGCGAACGGGUGAGUAAUACAUCGGAACGUGCCCAGUCGUGGGGGAUAACUACUCGAAAGAGUAGCUAAUACCGCAUACGAUCUGAGGAUGAAAGCGGGGGACCUUCGGGCCUCGCGCGAUUGGAGCGGCCGAUGGCAGAUUAGGUAGUUGGUGGGAUAAAAGCUUACCAAGCCGACGAUCUGUAGCUGGUCUGAGAGGACGACCAGCCACACUGGGACUGAGACACGGCCCAGACUCCUACGGGAGGCAGCAGUGGGGAAUUUUGGACAAUGGGCGAAAGCCUGAUCCAGCAAUGCCGCGUGCAGGAUGAAGGCCUUCGGGUUGUAAACUGCUUUUGUACGGAGCGAAAAAGCUCCUUCUAAUACAGGGGGCCCAUGACGGUACCGUAAGAAUAAGCACCGGCUAACUACGUGCCAGCAGCCGCGGUAAUACGUAGGGUGCGAGCGUUAAUCGGAAUUACUGGGCGUAAAGCGUGCGCAGGCGGUUAUGUAAGACAGAUGUGAAAUCCCCGGGCUCAACCUGGGAACUGCAUUUGUGACUGCAUGGCUAGAGUACGGUAGAGGGGGAUGGAAUUCCGCGUGUAGCAGUGAAAUGCGUAGAUAUGCGGAGGAACACCGAUGGCGAAGGCAAUCCCCUGGACCUGUACUGACGCUCAUGCACGAAAGCGUGG
RNAcentral lists this ribosomal RNA (700 nucleotides) under uncultured Burkholderiales bacterium. RNAcentral's name for it is "bacterial SSU rRNA". It matches the Rfam family "Bacterial small subunit ribosomal RNA", at positions 67 to 764 of the family's 1533-position model. Lineage: Bacteria; Pseudomonadati; Pseudomonadota; Betaproteobacteria; Burkholderiales. The record is from RNAcentral.